Molecule: ribosomal RNA, 497 nt
Filed under: uncultured bacterium
Lineage: Bacteria
Description: bacterial SSU rRNA
Rfam family: Bacterial small subunit ribosomal RNA
Source: RNAcentral
AUGAACGCUAGCGACAGGCUAACACAUGCAAGUCGAGGGGCAGCACGGGAGUAGCAAUACUUGGUGGCGACCGGCGCACGGGUGACGUAACGCGUAUGCAACCUACCUAUCAGAGGGGAAUAACCCGGCGAAAGUCGGACUAAUACCGCAUAAAACAGGGGCACCGCAUGGUGAUAUUUGUUAAAGAAAUUCGCUGAUAGAUGGGCAUGCGUUCCAUUAGGUAGUUGGUGAGGUAACGGCUCACCAAGCCGACGAUGGAUAGGGGAACUGAGAGGUUGGUCCCCCACACUGGUACUGAGACACGGACCAGACUCCUACGGGAGGCAGCAGUGAGGAAUAUUGGUCAAUGGGCGGGAGCCUGAACCAGCCAAGUCGCCGUGAAGGAAGAAGGAUCUAUGGUUCGUAAACUUCUUUUGCAGGGGAAUAAAGUGCAGGACGUGUCCUGUUUUGUAUGUACCCUGAGAAUAAGGAUCGGCUAACUCCGUGCCAGCCGCGGC